UAUGUGAUCGUCUCUCGCAUAUCAAUAAGCGGAGGAAAAGAAACUAACAAGGAUUCCCCUAGUAACGGCGAGUGAAGCGGGAAGAGCUCAAAUUUGAAAUCUUAAAGGGUUUCCCUUUACGAAUUGUAGUUUAAAGAAGUGUUUUCUGUUGAGGUUUUGGUAAAAGUUCUUUGGAAUAGGACAUCAUAGAGGGUGAGAAUCCCGUAUUUGACCUUUACUUUCAACUUUGUGAUACACUUUCAAAGAGUCGGAUUGUUUGGGAAUGCAGUCCAAAAUGGGUGGUAAAUUUCAUCUAAAGCUAAAUAUUGGCGAGAGACCGAUAGCGAACAAGUACCGUGAGGGAAAGAUGAAAAGAACUUUGAAAAGAGAGUUAAACAGUACGUGAAAUUGUCAAAGGGGAAGCGUUUGACACCAGUGUUGUUUUUCUGAAAAUCAAUUAAAGAACUGUUUAUGCUAAGUUGUUUAGACUUUAUCAGCUAACUGUUUAGUUUUGAGCUUUUCUUUAAUGCACUUUUCAGUUAACAAGUCAACAUCAAUUUCUUUUGCUGUAAAAAAGCUUGAGGAAGGUGGCUUGAGAUUCGUCUUAAGUGUUUAUAGCCUCUUGCCUAUGCAGUCGAAGAGAUUGAGGUCUGCAGCGUAGAUCCUUCGGGGCUAAAUGCAUUUGUGCUAAGUUAUAGCAUUUUAUAGACAACUUGUUGACUAUGAUUUGUCUUGUAGCUUACUCGCUUAUGUUAUUUUACCUACGCUUAGGAUGUUGACACACGCGCGUGCUCG
This 774-nucleotide ribosomal RNA is filed under the name uncultured Neocallimastigales. Its description in RNAcentral is "partial large subunit ribosomal RNA". It matches the Rfam family "Eukaryotic large subunit ribosomal RNA", at positions 24 to 643 of the family's 3401-position model. The record is from RNAcentral. Lineage: Eukaryota; Fungi; Neocallimastigomycota; Neocallimastigomycetes; Neocallimastigales.